This 240-nucleotide ribosomal RNA is filed under the name uncultured Geobacter sp. RNAcentral describes it as "partial 16S ribosomal RNA". It matches the Rfam family "Bacterial small subunit ribosomal RNA", at positions 293 to 524 of the family's 1533-position model. Lineage: Bacteria; Pseudomonadati; Thermodesulfobacteriota; Desulfuromonadia; Geobacterales; Geobacteraceae. The record is from RNAcentral.
UGAGAGGAUGAUCAGCCACACUGGAAUUGAGACACGGUCCAGACUCCUACGGGAGGCAGCAGUGGGGAAUUUUGCGCAAUGGGGGAAACCCUGACGCAGCAACGCCGCGUGAGUGAUGAAGGCCUUCGGGUCGUAAAGCUCUGUCUAGAGGGAAGAAAUGAUAGUCGGUUAAUACCCGGUUUUCUUGACGGUACCUCUGAAGGAAGCACCGGCUAACUCCGUGCCAGCAGCCGCGGUAAU